AACAUAAUAAAGAAAAUUAAACUUUCUAUUAACUUAUAUUUAAUAGAAAUAAUCUAUCACCUUA
Molecule: transfer RNA, 64 nt
Filed under: Platypodinae sp. BMNH 1274715
Lineage: Eukaryota; Metazoa; Arthropoda; Insecta; Coleoptera; Curculionidae
Description: tRNA-Trp
Source: RNAcentral